Pyrgilauda ruficollis (rufous-necked snowfinch) is the source of this 263-nucleotide long non-coding RNA. RefSeq lists it as uncharacterized. The transcript is spliced from 2 exons. The record is from RefSeq and is a predicted model, not a curated record. NCBI's taxonomy places the organism in Eukaryota, Metazoa, Chordata, Aves, Passeriformes, Passeridae.
GAGUGAAAAGUGUUCUACAACACAACCACAUUUCACAACAGUCCUCAAGAGUGUGAAUUUCUACAAGGGAAAAAGAAAUCAAAAUCAGUGCCUUUCAGGGUGUCUUUGUAGACUACAGAUGAAAAAGCUGCACUUGGAAAAUAUUUAACAGAACCCAUUACCAUUCACUCUUUUGAAAGGGUAACAAUUAACACUGUAUUAUGAUUCCUGGAUUAAGAACCUUUUACAUCUUGGCCUUUAAUGAAUGCUGCAGUAUCUCUGUG